CCCAGAAUGGAUCCCAGCAUGGAGCUGACACAGCAGCCUGUGCCAGCUUUACCCAUCCAAAUACACACCACCGCCAUCAGACCAGGGCUGGCUGGCUUCCCCUGAGAUUAUCUAAAGAGGAGCUGGAGAAGGAAGAGCUUGUUUAAGAUGACACGAACCGACCCACCUGACAUACUGGUGUCUACAGUGUAUCAAGACGUAGAGCUGAAGUGCCCAGCACCCAGGGAUUCCAUUGUCUGCCAGCCACUGACACAAUGUGACGCCUUCAUGUCAGCAUCUCUGCCGCACGACACGCAGCCCUUCAACAAGCGCCACUGUAGGAGCUUUGACUUUCUUGAGUUGCUCGACGACCAGCUGGCCCCUGCUCCUGCUAUGGAGCGCCCCUGCUGGCACCUGGGCACCCCCGAGCCUUCCUCAGGCUCCAGAGGCAGGAAGGCUCCUCCCAGGCUCGACGUUCAGAACACCAGGCCAGCCCCUCAUGGCAGGGAAGGCCCCAAGGAGCCAUUGGCUCGGGCGGAGCCAAAGAGGCGAGCGAGGUCCAAGAGCGCCCCUCGGGUGAAAUCCACCUUCACUCCCAUUGCCAUCCAGAUGUCAUCCUCGUCUCCCCCCAUGCCAGCCAGGCGGGGACGGGAGGCUCUGCGCCUCUCCAGGGAGCCUGUGAGGACAGAGACGUCCCCGCGCAGGGGGAGCGGAUACGCACCAAUGAAGGCCCCAAUGAAUGAGGUGCACCCCAUCAAGCUGCAGCCUCAGCGGAGCAGCACCAGCCGCAUCUCCCCACUAUGUGUCAGUAGCAACUGCCCGGAGGAGGCCCCAGGUGGAAGGCCGGCCACAAGCCUGCAUGUCAAGUGCCGGAUGGACAUGAAGCCAGAUGAGGCGGUGCUGGUGCACGCAGCACACAGCCUGAAAGCCCAGAGCAGGAUGGAGGUACCAUACUGGCCGAGGCCACCUGGUGCUAGCCGGAGCCUGACUAUCCCAAGCAGCAGGCAGGUGUCCGUGUCCCGCACUCCCACGCCCAGCGACUCCUACAGUGGGGAGCACAGGCUGCCCUACCCCAAUGAGUACUACGAAGGUGACCCUCGAGGCCAGGCUUACCAGGCCAUGCCCUCCCCACAGGACUAUCCCGAGAGGGGCUGUGUGACCUUCUCCACUCCAAACGUGCCCACCAAGUUCUUCUACACAGAGGAGCCAGCCGGGUGCCCUGGUCUCGGCAUUCCACUGAAAAGCUCUGGCUACGAGGCGUGUCCUCACCCAUACCCAGGGCGCCACCUCCCUCCACAGCCCUUCUACCCAGAGGACCCAGCCAAAGGUAAUAUCCACACCAUCCCACCCAGGACUUUCUACGUGGAAGAAGCUCGGACCUACCCCAUCCAGGAAGCCCCUGCCCACACCUUCUACAGAGAAGACCCUCGAUUCUACACCUCCAGGGGCAUGCCCACCAAACCCCUCUAUGCAGAGGACCCCAGGGUGUACCCUGCUCUGAACACCUCCUCCCGGUUGUUCUACACUGAGGAUUAUGGCAAAUACCACGAGAGGGAAUCCAUUUCGCGGACGUACCCUCAUGCCCGUAGCACCCAGCCUUUGCAGUUCAGCGACUGGUACUGCCCGGAUCGGGUUGCACUGCCCUACCAGACCUUGCAGAUGUCCCGCUUUGCACCUCAUCCCUCUGGGCAAGAGGCCUUGCUUUCCUCUUGGCAUGCCAGCUACAGCGCCAACCAGCCCCGCUUAGGCACAGACACCCGGCAUUACUCCAAAUCCUGGGACAACAUCCUGGCGCCCAGUAUCCGCAGGGAGGACCCCAUGUUCCGCGGGCGCAGCUAUGAGAACCUGCUCGCCCGGGAGCAGCACCGUGCCUUAUCCCCUGAUGACCGGCGGCAGCCUGUGGUGAUCAAUCUGUCCAGUUCUCCCAAGCGCUAUGCAGCGCUCUCCCUCUCGGAGAACUCCAUCAUGGAGAAGAUGCACACAGACGGUGGGCGGUGCCCCCUGGGCCGCUCCUGGUUUGUCACCCCAGAAAUCACCAUCACCGACAAUGACAUCAAAGCCAAUGGGCUGAGCAAGAGCGAGAAGCGCUCGGCCAGCUGGGAUAUGCUCGAUUCCGGGCGGGAUGGGCAUCGCUCCCGUGCCGCACACUACUACUUGGAUCCCACUGCCAAAGAGACCAUCCAAAGCAGCUCUGCCCGCCAGCGCAGCCUGGAGCAGUUGGACGAGCUGAUCACAGACCUGGUCAUCGACUCCAAGCCCCCGCCCAGCCACCACCCCAGCAACGGGGACAGCCUGACAGACCAGCUCAAGAGGCUGAUCGACAAUGACGUGCCCAGGCCUGCCAGGAAGCUGGAGGCCAGGAAGCCGCUGCCUUUAUUGGUGGGGGAGCCCAGGCCCACCAAGGAGCAGCCAGGCCCGAGUUCCUUCCACAGAGACAUAUGCAAGGAGCAGGGUGGCCGCUCGCUUGCCAUGUCUGUCUCCAGCAGCAGCUUUGAGAAGCAGCAGGAUGGCUGCUCCCCGGAGCUGAGCGCGGAUGAGGACGACAUGAUGAUGUGUUCGAAUGCCAAGUGCAAGCGCACGGAGACCAUGUUCAAUGCCUGCCUCUACUUCAAGUCCUGCCACAGCUGCUAUACAUACUACUGCUCCCGGAGCUGCCGCCGUGAGGACUGGGACACUCACAAGGAGAGCUGCAUCUACGGGCGUAUUGGGAGCAUCUGCCGGCACGUGCUGCAGUUCUGCCGGGAGAACGCCGAGGUGCACAAGGCCUUCUCACGCAUUGCCAAGGUGGGGUACCUUUCCCGAGGGCGAGGGGUGCUGUUCCUGGGCUUCCCCAGCUCAGGCUCAGCCGAGAACUUCCUCCAGUUUGGCUUGGAGAGUCUGCUGAUGUCUCCCACCUACCUGUCCCUGCGGGAGCUGGAGGGCUACGCGGAGAACCUGGGGGAUUAUGCCCGGGAGUUGGGGGUGUCUGGCAGCCAGUACGACCCUGAGGAAUGUUUCCUCUUGAAUGUAACUGUGGCCGUUGGACAAAAAGUGCCUGUGAGGCAUUCCCCCAAGAUCCAGGUGCCGACAGUCAGGAAAUAUGCCAAGGUGGCCUUAGCCUCCUCCAGCCCCGAGAAGCAGAUCCUGAAGAAGGAACGGGACAUGGAGACCUUGAUCCUGACCCCCCCGCCUGGCACGGCGGACCUUGACAAGGAGGGGGAGGAAGGGCGGAAGGCCCGGGAGGUCUGCUUCAUCAACAUCCAGCGGGAGCUGCGGAUCCGAGGCGUCUUCCUGCGCCAUGAGUUCCCCAAAAUCUACGAGCAGCUGUGUGACUUCGUGGAGAGCAACAAGAGGUUCACGCCUACCACCAUCUACCCCAUUGACAGGCGGACUGGAAAGCAGUUCAUGUGUAUGAUCAUGGCCGCCUCUGAGCCACGGACCCUGGACUGGGUCGCCAGCCCCAACCUCCUGGACGACCUCAUGUGACCAGCGCUGCCACACCACACAGGCCUCCUGUUUAGUCCCCUUUGUAGACAGGGAACCACCGCGUGUUGCUGCCAUCUAGAGAGAUGGACCAGAACUACAUCCCUGGAUCCAAACAUCCUAUCUCCCAAGCCUCUGAUUCAAAGGUGGAGGUUCCCCAUGCAGAGCCGAAUGGAAACCUCCCCAGGUGGCAGGGUGCUCAGGUGGUGCCCAUUAUAAAGAGACAUCCAGCUGUGCAUGCUGAUCCUUGGUUUUGGUUCAUGCCCUUCUCCACUCUGAGCGCAUCAGUCUAGGAUUUCGCCUGUUGGCCAGGGAACUUCUGACCAUGCACUAAUGUGAAUGCACCAGAGCCAUGAGCACUGAUUUUGGGCCUGCCCAGCAUCAAGGGAUCAAGUAAAAAAACACCUGAAGUUAUUAACUAGCACUGGAAUGGAAACCAUCAGUUCCUGUGCCAGGCUGCUGGGUCAGCCAGGGGUGUCCAUGCCACUGCUGGGAGGCGGCACCCUCAACGACAGCACUGUUGUGGGCAGCUACCACCCCACUGCACCAGCUAGAUAGUGCCCAUUAGCUGAGUAGAUGUGAGUUCGUCUUCUGUAAAAGCUGAAUAGUUGGAGCAAAAGUGAGGGACUCCUGCCUCUCAGCCAGCUAAGCUGAGUUCCUCCCCAGCAGUGCUGCGGUCAGUGGGAUUUCCUGCCUUUCAUCAUAAGGCCAGGUGGGCUUUUCUCAUCCACACCAUCCCAGUCAUCGUAAGUUCCCUCCCCCAUUUCACCUGCAGAGCUGUGACUUCUCUUGUGGCAGCAGGGGAAACUGGGAGCAUCUUUGUCCUGGUUUUGCACUGUCUGGGAUCCUGUCCAGGCUUUAACCAUGUUUCAUGGCCGAGAUCCAAACAGCUCUUCCAACUACACAGCUUCAAGGUCAUGGUGGAUCCUGAUAGCUGCAGCCUCCUAAUCGAACAAACAAUAAAUAAAAAGACUGAAACUGCAUCUUCUCAGCUGGGCUCCCUGGAGGGUUUUACCUAAACAGGACAGAAUUCUUUGAUAAAUGCAUGUUCUAUUUAUUUCCUUUUUUAAAAUUAUGCAUCAUAUAGAAGAGUCAGAUCACAUCUCCUCUUGUGCAGAACAGAACUACGUCUGUAUUUUCUCACGUUUCGUUGUAUCAUUCCUGCUGGUGUCCCACGGCAAAGUUUCGGAGGUAAACUUAUUAUGAGAGACCUAUUUUCUUUGGAUAUCCAUAAAGUAUAACUUGAAUGUACAGUUGUUGUCUGCCUUUACUGACUUGACUGGGCAGCAAUAGUUUUGUGAGGAAGGUGCUGAUCUUGUGAGUCAGGCAGGGGAAACCUUUCCUGCUAACAUGAAGACAGAGUCCGCCUGGGGCCAAAAAACACUUAACUGGAAUGAGAUACAAAGAAAAGGAACUGUUAGAAGCUCUGGGACACUGGAGGAGUGAUGGGUGAGUGACCAUUUGUAAGUGUGACAAAGUGACGUGCUGCAGACAUAAGCGACACAUGCCUGGGGAGUGGGGAUCAGAGCCUGGUCCAUCCACCCCAAACAUCUACGCCUCUGCUACUUGUGUGAGAGGCAACUUCAAAAGCUGACAGAAGCGGUAGCCGGUCACAAGAGGGCAGCAUCCCCCAUACAGACCAAAACCCAGUACACUACAGCACCAUCCUCACCCAUUUGCC
RNA transcript from Chelonoidis abingdonii (Abingdon island giant tortoise), 5122 nucleotides. It is a transcript of the gene named apical junction component 1 homolog, with no coding region annotated. NCBI's taxonomy places the organism in Eukaryota, Metazoa, Chordata, Testudines, Testudinidae. The record is from RefSeq and is a predicted model, not a curated record.